GAUGAAGAACGCAGCGAAAUGCGAUAAGUAAUGUGAAUUGCAGAAUUCAGUGAAUCAUCGACUCUUUGAACGCACAUUGCGCCCGCCAGUAUUCUGGCGGGCAUGCCUGUUCGAGCGUCAUUUCAACCAUCAAGCCCCAGGCUUGUGUUGGGGACCUGCGGCUGCCGCAGGCCCUGAAAACCAGUGGCGGGCUCGCUGUCACACCGGGCGUAGUAGAUUUUAUCUCGCUCAGGGCGUGCUGCGGGUUCCGGCCGUUAAAAAGCCUUUUUUACCCAAGGUUGACCUCGGAUCAGGUAGGAAGACCCGCUGAACUUAAGCAUAUCAAUAAGCGGAGGA
Molecule: unclassified non-coding RNA, 336 nt
Filed under: soil metagenome
Description: partial contains 5.8S ribosomal RNA, internal transcribed spacer 2, and large subunit ribosomal RNA
Rfam family: 5.8S ribosomal RNA (bases 1-120)
Source: RNAcentral